RNAcentral lists this long non-coding RNA (226 nucleotides) under Nicotiana benthamiana. RNAcentral describes it as "long non-coding RNA (NBEN_LNC017981)". The record is from RNAcentral. Lineage: Eukaryota; Viridiplantae; Streptophyta; Magnoliopsida; Solanales; Solanaceae.
GACUAGCCUGAAAAACUAGUCGAUUAUCAACUAUUUUCGCAUUAAAGUUGAAAAACAAUUGAUCAACAAUCGAUUGUCAUUGACUAACAAUCGAUUGUCUUGAAACAGUAAGGUCUGAAAUUUUUCAAAAAUCAUCCACAAUCGAUUGUCGUUGACUAACAAUCGAAUGUCUUGAAACAGUGAGGUCUGGAAUUUUUCAAAAAUCAUCCACAAUCGAUUGUCUUUG